UGGGGAAUUUUGGACAAUGGGCGAAAGCCUGAUCCAGCCAUGCCGCGUGAGUGAAGAAGGCCUUCGGGUUGUAAAGCUCUUUUAGUCGGAAAGAAAGAGUUGCAAUGAAUAAUUGUGAUUUAUGACGGUACCGACAGAAAAAGCACCGGCUAACUACGUGCCAGCAGCCGCGGUAAUACGUAGGGUGCGAGCGUUAAUCGGAAUUACUGGGCGUAAAGGGUGCGCAGGCGGUCUUGCAAGUCAGAUGUGAAAGCCCCGGGCUUAACCUGGGAAUUGCGUUUGAAACUAUAAGGCUAGAGUGCAGCAGAGGGGAGUGGAAUUCCAUGUGUAGCAGUGAAAUGCGUAGAGAUGUGGAAGAACACCGAUGGCGAAGGCAGCUCCCUGGGUUGACACUGACGCUCAUGCACGAAAGCGUGGGGAGCAAACA
Molecule: ribosomal RNA, 427 nt
Filed under: uncultured beta proteobacterium
Lineage: Bacteria; Pseudomonadati; Pseudomonadota; Betaproteobacteria
Description: bacterial SSU rRNA
Rfam family: Bacterial small subunit ribosomal RNA
Source: RNAcentral